Molecule: ribosomal RNA, 406 nt
Filed under: uncultured bacterium
Lineage: Bacteria
Description: partial 16S ribosomal RNA
Rfam family: Bacterial small subunit ribosomal RNA
Source: RNAcentral
AUUGAACGCUGGCGGCAGGCCUAACACAUGCAAGUCGAACGAGUGGCGGACGGGUGAGUAAUGUCUGGGAAACUGCCUGAUGGAGGGGGAUAACUACUGGAAACGGUAGCUAAUACCGCAUAACCUCAGAUGUGCCCAGAUGGGAUUAGCUAGUUGGUGGGGUAACGGCUCACCAAGGCGACGAUCCCUAGCUGGUCUGUGAGGAUGACUAGGCACACUGGAACUGAGACACGGUCCAGACUCCUACGGGAGGCAGCAGUGGGGAAUAUUGCAAAAUGGGCGCAAGCCUGAUUCAGCCAUGCCGCGUGUAUGAAGAAGGCCUUCGGGUGGUAAAGUACUUUCAGCGGGGAGGCGUUACCCGCAGAAGAAGCACCGGCUAACUCCGUGCCAGCAGCCGCGGUAAUUC